GGCUCAGGAUGAACGCUAGCGGCAGGCCUAACACAUGCAAGUCGAGGGGUAGAACACUUCGGUGUUUGAGACCGGCGCACGGGUGCGUAACGCGUAUGCAAUCUACCUUAUACAGAGGGAUAGCCCAGAGAAAUUUGGAUUAAUACCUCAUAGUAUGUGAGAAUCGCAUGGUUUUCACAUUAAAGUUCCAACGGUAAAAGAUGAGCAUGCGUCCCAUUAGCUAGAUGGUAAGGUAACGGCUUACCAUGGCGACGAUGGGUAGGGGUCCUGAGAGGGAGAUCCCCCACACUGGUACUGAGACACGGACCAGACUCCUACGGGAGGCAGCAGUGAGGAAUAUUGGACAAUGGGCGCAAGCCUGAUCCAGCCAUGCCGCGUGCAGGAUGACGGUCCUAUGGAUUGUAAACUGCUUUUGUACAGGAAGAAACACUCCCUCGUGAGGGAGCUUGACGGUACUGUAAGAAUAAGGAUCGGCUAACUCCGUG
This 485-nucleotide ribosomal RNA is filed under the name uncultured bacterium. RNAcentral's name for it is "bacterial SSU rRNA". It matches the Rfam family "Bacterial small subunit ribosomal RNA", at positions 21 to 507 of the family's 1533-position model. The record is from RNAcentral.